Molecule: long non-coding RNA, 474 nt
Organism: Periophthalmus magnuspinnatus
Lineage: Eukaryota; Metazoa; Chordata; Actinopteri; Gobiiformes; Gobiidae
Exons: 3
Source: RefSeq, a predicted model, not a curated record
GUGACUCGCAGCACUUGCUCAAGAUGGUGAGGAAAUGCUCUAUGCGGGCCGAAGUGUGUGGAAAAUGCAGCCAGAAGGAGCCAGAGGUCACUAGGACCAGGGGACUGCAUCAAGGCCAUGUAGGGGAAGAAACGUGAGCAGAAAGGCAGAGCGUCAUGGGCUACUAGACUGACCGGCGUGUGGAUCCAGAGGAAUGCACAAGAGCUUGUCCCGGGAAAGCUGCUCGGUACAGGCCAGGACAGAGGCCAGGAGCAUCAGGACCCCCAGAAAGACAGCGCAGUAUCACCAUGACAGGAACGACAAACCCCUAGCCCCAAACCCACUGAAGCCAGCACAAGCUCCCCUCUCAUCUGUGCUCUGCUCCCCUCUCGUUUGCACUCUGCUCCCCUCUCUCUGCUCCCCUCUCUGCUGCAGCCUUUGCCUGGAGAGAGCGACAAGCCCCCCGCCACAUCAACCACACAGCUGCCAACUGCC